UUUUUUUUUUUUUUUUUUUCCCUUUUUAAACAAAGCAAAAAUUAAUCAGCCAAAUAGGAAUUGACAGCAUUCCUUUAAAAAGCAAAAUAAAGCUCGCCCCAGCUGGGCACUCACCAGGCUGCUAUAUUUAUUUGUGUCUCACGUGCUGGGCCCAUGUGCAAUUCAGCUUCCCUUGAUGUGAGCAGGCUUUGCUGUGCUCUGCCUUCCCAAGUGCCCCCGGCACACUUAAGCUUUUUCUCUGGCUCCUGCUCCAUGUCACCCCUGUGCCCCUGUGGAACACAGCUGAUCCAAGCCCCCAGCAGCAUCCCAGACUCCAGGGCUGCCUCCAGCCCCAAACUCAGACAAAACUCAAGCCCAUCCUUGUCCUAGACCUCCAGAGCUGCAAGCAGAGCCUGGAAAUUGAUACUCACCCCUCCAGAAAUGCAUCCUAGAGAAAACUCACAAGCUCUACGGAGGUUUCCCCAGUCAAUCGUUCUUUACUUUGGCUGGCAUAAAAAGCUGAAAAAUCUAUAAGAAUACUAAAAAGCAUUUUCAGUUGUAUUCUGACUCUUUUUCCUCAGCACUUGGUGAUAUUUUUUGGGAUCAGCUUGCUAUGCAGCUAAGCAUCAUAACUCAUAAAGAAGAAACACAACUGGCUUGGGGUUUUUUUUGAGUAAUUAAAAUUCCUCCCACUACCUGGUUUCAUAAUUGAAACUGACCACUCCACUGUUCAAACAUGCACUCCUUCCUGUGACCAGGCUUCUUCUGUUUUUUCCUGCUCAGUAAAGGCUCUGGCUCAGAAGUAAGGAUGACAGCCAUCACAUUGACAUAAAAUGCCCUGCCUCUGUCCUAAUGCAGAGAGACUUGAGACGCUCAUAGGUAGCUCCUACAGUCUGUACUUUGCAGCUUGGAAUUUUUAGAUGAAUAAUCACAAAUUUCUACAUUACUUAAACCACUAGAAGACAAAUUUUAAUCAUUGAGGAUCUGCUCCUUGAGAAGCUCAAGUAUCCAGGGAUGGGACAGACAGGAGGUUUUAGGUUGUGUAGCACCUGACAUGUUUGUUUUACUGGUAGAAAUUAUUUCUCUUUCCCUCUUCCUUCUCUGCAGAAAAUAUUCCUCAGUCAUGUGUGUGGCUGUCCAUCUGCCCUCCUCUUUCCCUCAAUCUCAGGUUAUUCCCAUUUGAAGUCGACAGCCCAAAACUUAACAAGCUUCCCUUAUUACACCAAUCAUUCGUAACAGCUUCUGAACACCAGCCACAAUUUAUGACUGCAUUUUCAAAUCAGCACAGGGCAUUUCCAUUUGCCUUCUUUCUACAGAAAAGUUGUUUUAACAAAAUCCAAAAUGAACAAUCACCUACAAGCUUAGGACAUGUUUCUGAAACAGAAAAUGAAGCAAUGGGUCUUCUUGGUUUGUCAUUAUCAACACAGAGCUUUUCAGGCAGACUUAAUUCUUAUCAUCAUCAGAAACAAAAGUCAUCACCAGCAAAUUGCUCCUACUGAAAACACUGUCCUGAACAAAGGGUGAUACAAUUUAAAAGGGAAGAGAGAACUGGUGGUAGAGUUUUGGUUGUUUUUCUUUUUUUUUCUCAGGGCUCCAUCCAGCUCCUCCUGAAGAGGGUUUUUAUUUGCUUGUUACAUUAUUUUAUGUAUGCAGGUCAUCUGAGGGUUGCCAGGGGUUGGGAAUUUCUGCUUAAAAUCCUUUUUGACAAUUGCUUUGUAGUUUCAAUAUUUGCCAACUGCUAAACAAAUUAAGAAUAGAAACAGAAAAAAAGACUUAGGUCUUCAGCAGUCAUCUGACAUCCUAUUUUAAGCCUGUUUCUGAUGGCAUGUCCUCUGACAUUUUUUUAUAAUGUCAGUGACUUUUAAAAUUAGAGUUCAAUCAACUAAUUUUCCGUGCUCUUGUGCAUUAGAUUCAACAAGAUGAGUCUACUAGAAUAGUUUUAAUAUCUGAUUUGCUUUUGCAUUGUUUGUUUUUUUGUUCUUCUGCCAUUAAGUAGCAAAGUGAACUAAAGAACAUUUUUCCAUAUAAAAAAUUCUACCUUCAGGUAGCUAUAGGCAGCAGUCCAGGGAAUCCUGUUCAUUUCUUAGAAGGUAAAAAUCUCUUACUCAAGGCUUCCCAUGGUCUGUCUUUUGGGGAUGGUUUUAUUCCUUUGUUUAUCUAUCUCAUAAGGCAAACAUCUGUUCAAAAUCAGGUAAACUCCAGUUGAAACUUUAACUACAGAAGAGCUACAUUCAUUUCAGAAUAACUUCACUUAGUAGAAUUCAUUCACCAGAGUCCUUACAAAAAUUAUUCACUAUAGGCAGAUUACUACAAGCAGGAAACUACAAAACCACAAAUUUAUUUUACAUAAGUAAACACUAGUUAAAAUUUGUAACACAACUUUAAGAUUGAAAUGUAAAAUGAGUUUCCAUAUAAAACAACAUGGAAGCAAAAGAACCAAAGAUUAAAAAAAAAAAAACAAAAAAAAAAAAAA
Molecule: long non-coding RNA, 2452 nt
Organism: Taeniopygia guttata (zebra finch)
Lineage: Eukaryota; Metazoa; Chordata; Aves; Passeriformes; Estrildidae
Source: Ensembl